This 591-nucleotide ribosomal RNA is filed under the name [Candida] boidinii. RNAcentral's name for it is "LSU rRNA". It matches the Rfam family "Eukaryotic large subunit ribosomal RNA", at positions 36 to 650 of the family's 3401-position model. Lineage: Eukaryota; Fungi; Ascomycota; Pichiomycetes; Pichiales; Pichiaceae. The record is from RNAcentral.
AAGCAUAUCAAUAAGCGGAGGAAAAGAAACCAACAGGGAUUGCCUUAGUAGCGGCGAGUGAAGCGGCAAGAGCUCAAAUUUGAAAUCUGGUACUUUCAGUAUCCGAGUUGUAAUUUGAAGAAAGUUAUCUUGGAGUUGGCCCUUGUCUAUGUUCCUUGGAACAGGACGUCACAGAGGGUGAGAAUCCCGUGCGAUGGGGUGCCCAUUCUAUGUAAGAUACUUUCGACGAGUCGAGUUGUUUGGGAAUGCAGCUCUAAGUGGGUGGUAAAUUCCAUCUAAAGCUAAAUAUUGGCGAGAGACCGAUAGCGAACAAGUACAGUGAUGGAAAGAUGAAAAGAACUUUGAAAAGAGAGUGAAAAAGUACGUGAAAUUGUUGAAAGGGAAGGGUAUUUGAUCAGACUGAUAUUCAGUUAACACUGUUCCUUGUGGAUGGUGCUCUAGCUUUUUAUUGGGCCAGCAUCAGUUUAGGUGGCAGGAUAAGAACUGUUGAACGUGGCUCUUCGGAGUGUUAUAGCUUCAGUUGAUACUGCCUAUCUAGACUGAGGUCUGCGGCUUUGCCUAGGAUGCUGGCGUAAUGGUCUAAUACCGCCC